Setaria italica (foxtail millet) is the source of this 847-nucleotide long non-coding RNA. RefSeq lists it as uncharacterized. The record is from RefSeq and is a predicted model, not a curated record. Lineage: Eukaryota; Viridiplantae; Streptophyta; Magnoliopsida; Poales; Poaceae. The transcript has 3 exons.
AUGUCUCCGUAUGUGUCCCUCCACACGUGGAGACCACCUAUUGGCUUCCCCUCCAGGAGGCAGGUCCACUAAUUUCCAUCGUUAUCGCACGGCACCAGGAAACGGAACCGUCAGCCCAUCUAGUCUGUCGCCGCUCCGUCCUCUGUUCUAUCCUUUCCCCUUCUCUCCUCCAAGCUGGUCCGCCUAGCUGCUGCACAAAUCGAAGAGCUCGAUCUCAGCGGGACUUUACAUCCAAUAGCAAGAAGUUCGAUUGGUGGAACAACAAGGACCUCGAUUCCGGCUGCAAGAUUUCGAUUUGGGUGGCUACAACCUCGAUUCUUGCUGCAAGAUCUCGAUUAGGAUCGUGAGGAUUUCUAUUUUGCGGUUUCCUCGUCAUUGCGUCCAGUCAAGGUCACCAUGGUGGGACAUCGAGCUGGGAGGGUGUGACAGCAGGUGUUGUGAAUACGAUGGUGAUGGUGUAUCCUUCAAGGUCCUCUUGUCGGAGCAAAGAAUCUUCCCCAUGACAAAUCUAGUUUGAAGGAAUGUUGAUCCGACAGAAAUUUGGCGAGGAUGUGGUACCUGCAACCGGCGGCAUGGCCAUGCUUAGUACUUGUGGAAGUAAUGGCGGUGCCCGAUCCAAGUAGUUGUCUUCGUUGAUAGGUGUAAUGUGAUUUGACUGAGAUGCCAUUGUUGUUGUGUGGGAGAUGAGGAAGAUGCAAAUCUGAUAAUUAUCUUUUUGUGUUUUUAGUGUUGUUAGCUUGGCGGCCGAUAAAAACUGCACCCGCUGUAAUUGGCGCCAUUUUCUUCAGAAUUAGGUGGCUUUUCCCUCCAUUAAUUCUCCCUAACCCUCGUAAUUACGUUAGUGGGG